This 463-nucleotide ribosomal RNA is filed under the name Mycobacterium sp. MZ-11483. Its description in RNAcentral is "bacterial SSU rRNA". It matches the Rfam family "Bacterial small subunit ribosomal RNA", at positions 28 to 508 of the family's 1533-position model. The record is from RNAcentral. Lineage: Bacteria; Bacillati; Actinomycetota; Actinomycetes; Mycobacteriales; Mycobacteriaceae.
GACGAACGCUGGCGGCGUGCUUAACACAUGCAAGUCGAACGGAAAGGCCCUUCGGGGUGCUCGAGUGGCGAACGGGUGAGUAACACGUGGGUGAUCUGCCCUGCACUUUGGGAUAAGCCUGGGAAACUGGGUCUAAUACCGAAUAGGACCACGCAUUUCAUGGUGUGUGGUGGAAAGCUUUUGCGGUGUGGGAUGGGCCCGCGGCCUAUCAGCUUGUUGGUGGGGUAAUGGCCUACCAAGGCGACGACGGGUAGCCGGCCUGAGAGGGUGACCGGCCACACUGGGACUGAGAUACGGCCCAGACUCCUACGGGAGGCAGCAGUGGGGAAUAUUGCACAAUGGGCGCAAGCCUGAUGCAGCGACGCCGCGUGAGGGAUGACGGCCUUCGGGUUGUAAACCUCUUUCAAUAGGGACGAAGCGCAAGUGACGGUACCUAUAGAAGAAGGACCGGCCAACUACGUGC